CGGGUGCACUGAUCCGGCCGGGCCUUUCCCUCUGUGGAACCCCAUGGCCUUCACUGGCUGUGCGGGGGAAACAGGACUUUUACUGUGAAAAAAUUAGAGUGCUCCAGGCAGGCCUAUGCUCGAAUACAUUAGCAUGGAAUAAUAGAAUAGGACGCGUGGUUCUAUUUUGUUGGUUUCUAGGACCGCCGUAAUGAUUAAUAGGGACAGUCGGGGGCAUCAGUAUUCAAUUGUCAGAGGUGAAAUUCUUGGAUCUAUUGAAGACUAACUACUGCGAAAGCAUUUGCCAAGGAUGUUUUCAUUGAUAAGGAACGAAAGUUAGGGGAUCGAAGACGAUCAGAUACCGUCGUAGUCUUAACUAUAAACUAUGCCGACUAGGGAUCGGACGAUGUUAUUUCUUGACGCGUUCGGCACCUUUCGAGAAAUCAAAGUGCUUGGGCUUCAGGGGGAGUAUGGUCGCAAGGCUGAAACUUAAAGAAAUUGACGGAAGGGCACCACCAGGGGUGGAACCUGCGGCUUAAUUUGACUCAACACGGGGAAACUCACCAGGUCCAGACACAGUGAGGAUUGACAGAUUGAGAGCUCUUUCUUGAUUCUGUGGGUGGUGGUGCAUGGCCGUUCUUAGUUGGUGGAGUGAUUUGUCUGCUUAAUUGCGAUAACGAACGAGACCUUAACCUGCUAAAUAGCCCGUACUGCUCUGGCAGUUCGCCGGCUUCUUAGAGGGACUAUCGG
RNAcentral lists this ribosomal RNA (729 nucleotides) under uncultured eukaryote. Its description in RNAcentral is "SSU rRNA". It matches the Rfam family "Eukaryotic small subunit ribosomal RNA", at positions 670 to 1426 of the family's 1831-position model. The record is from RNAcentral.